RNAcentral lists this small RNA (694 nucleotides) under Curvularia hominis. RNAcentral's name for it is "eukaryotic LSU rRNA". The stretch from base 335 to 488 matches the Rfam family "5.8S ribosomal RNA". Lineage: Eukaryota; Fungi; Ascomycota; Dothideomycetes; Pleosporales; Pleosporaceae. The record is from RNAcentral.
UGAAUGGCUCAGUGAGGCGUUCGGACUGGCUCGGGGAGGUUGGCAACGACCACCCCAAGCCGGAAAGUUCGUCAAACUCGGUCAUUUAGAGGAAGUAAAAGUCGUAACAAGGUCUCCGUAGGUGAACCUGCGGAGGGAUCAUUACACAAUAAAAUAUGAAGGCUGUACGCGGCUGUGCUCUCGGGCCAGUUUUGCGGAGGCUGAAUUAUUUAUUACCCUUGUCUUUUGCGCACUUGUUGUUUCCUGGGCGGGUUCGCCCGCCACCAGGACCACAUCAUAAACCUUUUUUAUGCAGUUGCAAUCAGCGUCAGUAUAACAAAUGUAAAUCAUUUACAACUUUCAACAACGGAUCUCUUGGUUCUGGCAUCGAUGAAGAACGCAGCGAAAUGCGAUACGUAGUGUGAAUUGCAGAAUUCAGUGAAUCAUCGAAUCUUUGAACGCACAUUGCGCCCUUUGGUAUUCCAAAGGGCAUGCCUGUUCGAGCGUCAUUUGUACCCUCAAGCUUUGCUUGGUGUUGGGCGUUUUUUGUCUUUGGUUGCCAAAGACUCGCCUUAAAAGGAUUGGCAGCCGGCCUACUGGUUUCGCAGCGCAGCACAUUUUUGCGCUUGCAAUCAGCAAAAGAGGACGGCAAUCCAUCAAGACUCCUUCUCACGUUUGACCUCGGAUCAGGUAGGGAUACCCGCUGAAAAAAAAG